Glycine soja is the source of this 1202-nucleotide long non-coding RNA. RefSeq lists it as uncharacterized. The transcript is spliced from 6 exons. Lineage: Eukaryota; Viridiplantae; Streptophyta; Magnoliopsida; Fabales; Fabaceae. The record is from RefSeq and is a predicted model, not a curated record.
UCUUUCACAUUUACUCACAUUUGCAGAUUUGCUUGCUACCUUUGAACCUUUAAAAUCAUUUUGCAUUCCGAAUUUGUCACAAGCCUCUAAUUAUUUAAAUAAAAAAAUCUAAGAAAUUUUCAUAAAAAAAGAAGAGGAAUUGAACAAGAGAGUUAAUGAAGAACGAGAAAUGCUCCAUGAAAGCUAAGGAAAAGGAGAGACAUACAAUUUAAGUGGAACUGAAAAUACGAAAUUUAAAAAGCAAGAAAAUUUUCUUGUUUGUGCGGUGACACAAAGCAAGUAAAGAACGUAACCAUGCUUUAGCAUAGUAAUAGUAAUCAAUCACACUUUGGACAUGAGGAAGUAAGAGUAGAAGGUGACGACAUGACCCUUAACGCCUACGGCAGGGUUAGUAUCGUUGGUCCAACAAUUGCGGUUGUUAAGUGAUAUAUCAUAUGUUUCAUGUUACAUAAUACUCCAUAUAAUUAAGACAUGCAGCAUCUGAUUACCUUUGGAUUCGACAACGAAGCAACUCCGGCGUCCUCCACCUCUGGCUCUGGGGAAACAUGGUUCCUCACCUCAAUCGCUGCGUCAUCAUCUUCCAUCAUUUCCAGGCUUAUUUUCCCUCUGCUGCGUCACCCUUCAGAUUUAUAUAUAUACAUGCACUUCAGGUUUUAUAACAGGGUGUAAAAUGUGGUAUUUAUGGUGCCAAUUCUGCAGAAUGGAUUAUGAGCAUGCAGUCACACAGGUGUUGGGGCUAUAGAGUUUAUUAUAUGCCAUUCAGAGGUCUGAAUUGCACUUGCAGAAGAGAAGAAGAUACCUGAGGAUCAAACUCAGAGCUUUGAACUUCCAAUUAAGAAAAGGAUGUAUACAUAUCAUACCUUCCACUCGCACAUACUUUUUUUAGGACCAUUGAGGAGAUAUUCAUAUGGCAUGGUGCUUCAAUUGGUUUCUGGCGUGGGGAUGUCAAAUUGUUAAUUGAUGAUGUUGGGGAACUAAAACCAACUAUUUUCUGUGUUGUUCCCCGUGUGCUUGAUAGAGUGUACUCAGGUUUGACACAGAAGAUUUCUUCUGGGGGCUUCUUGAAGAAGACAUUAAAGAAAGACAGUAGAAUCUCCUUUUAUGUUUAUUAUUAUUUUCAAAACUCAAAAAGAAAGACAGAUUUGAACUGUAAUUAUGUUUAUGUAUGAACAUGCGCACACAGUAGAAUCUCCUUUUAUGUU